RNAcentral lists this ribosomal RNA (465 nucleotides) under Vreelandella stevensii. RNAcentral describes it as "partial 16S ribosomal RNA". It matches the Rfam family "Bacterial small subunit ribosomal RNA", at positions 338 to 795 of the family's 1533-position model. Lineage: Bacteria; Pseudomonadati; Pseudomonadota; Gammaproteobacteria; Oceanospirillales; Halomonadaceae. The record is from RNAcentral.
CCUACGGGCGGCAGCAGUGGGGAAUAUUGGACAAUGGGGGCAACCCUGAUCCAGCCAUGCCGCGUGUGUGAAGAAGGCCCUCGGGUUGUAAAGCACUUUCAGUGAGGAAGAACGCCUGGUGGUUAAUACCCAUCAGGAAAGACAUCACUCACAGAAGAAGCACCGGCUAACUCCGUGCCAGCAGCCGCGGUAAUACGGAGGGUGCGAGCGUUAAUCGGAAUUACUGGGCGUAAAGCGCGCGUAGGUGGCUUGAUAAGCCGGUUGUGAAAGCCCCGGGCUCAACCUGGGAACGGCAUCCGGAACUGUCAAGCUAGAGUGCAGGAGAGGAAGGUAGAAUUCCCGGUGUAGCGGUGAAAUGCGUAGAGAUCGGGAGGAAUACCAGUGGCGAAGGCGGCCUUCUGGACUGACACUAACACUGAGGUGCGAAAGCGUGGGUAGCAAACAGGAUUAGAUACCCCAGUAGUC